This 840-nucleotide long non-coding RNA is filed under the name Musa acuminata (dwarf banana). Its description in RNAcentral is "long non-coding RNA (MACU_LNC004317)". Lineage: Eukaryota; Viridiplantae; Streptophyta; Magnoliopsida; Zingiberales; Musaceae. The record is from RNAcentral.
UUCUACUAAGCAGGCUCUGAACACUGACGAUAAUACUGAUGAGAAAUCAAUGCUAACAGUUGUUGGGAGGAUCGGAGGAGCAGUUCUACAACGAGGGCUUGUAAGGGUAUGAUCUGUUACCGGAUCCUAUCGCUGUGUCCGCAAUAACUGCCGCACGUAGGAUUGAUUUAGCAGAUAUCUCUAUCCGUUUGCGGUUGAUCACCGAAGCCAGUGAAGGAAACUAAUAAUAUCCAUGGAUUCGUUUGAUGGAUUUGAUCUGACACCUGCCUUUUACUAAUUCUUUCUCACAGCACAACCACCCCCUUCCCACACUACAAAUAUCAUCUUCGCCUUCUCUCUCUCUCGCUCUCUGCAUUGUGAUCGUUGGUAAGAUCUCGUCCUUUCCAUGGCGUUUACAGAUGCAAUUCCUUGCAUGUGCAUGAAAAAACCAUCCGUCUUUCUUUAGCAUUCGUACUGUUUACGUUGUCGGAGUUUGUUCUACGCUUGUUCUUUUUCGUCUUUUAACUCUUCUUCUUGGACUCGACGCCCUGCCUUUCCCUGAAUGGUGUUUGCUCACAGAUCAUGUCCACGGAAGAAUAUACGAUUGGUAUUGGUGUCUUCUUCCUCUCUGAUCACUGAUGCCUCAGUGUAAUCGUCAUCCAUCCAGUUCAUGAAUCAUCUUCUAUAUCCUAUUAUUACUUUUUUUCCAGCAAAAUCUCAGUGUUUUUUAAGCAACAGCAUUCUCCAUCAUUAAUAUUUGUAUCCGUGAGACAAAUAGCAGAAUUAUUUUACUCUAGUAGCUCAGUUGACAAAUCCUGCUGCCAUCUUUACCUGAGUUCUAAUUAUCAAGGUUCGAAUCUU